CGCUGGCGGCAGGCUUAACACAUGCAAGUCGAGCGGUAGCAGGGAGAAAGCUUGCUUUCUCCGCUGACGAGCGGCGGACGGGUGAGUAAUGUCUGGGGAUCUGCCUGAUGGAGGGGGAUAACUACUGGAAACGGUAGCUAAUACCGCAUAACGUCGCAAGACCAAAGUGGGGGACCUUCGGGCCUCAUGCCAUCAGAUGAACCCAGAUGGGAUUAGCUAGUAGGUGGGGUAAUGGCUCACCUAGGCGACGAUCCCUAGCUGGUCUGAGAGGAUGACCAGCCACACUGGAA
This 290-nucleotide ribosomal RNA is filed under the name Edwardsiella ictaluri. RNAcentral describes it as "partial 16S rRNA". It matches the Rfam family "Bacterial small subunit ribosomal RNA", at positions 34 to 318 of the family's 1533-position model. Lineage: Bacteria; Pseudomonadati; Pseudomonadota; Gammaproteobacteria; Enterobacterales; Hafniaceae. The record is from RNAcentral.